Molecule: non-coding RNA, 68 nt
Organism: Dallia pectoralis (Alaska blackfish)
Lineage: Eukaryota; Metazoa; Chordata; Actinopteri; Esociformes; Umbridae
Source: the annotation of a GenBank genome assembly
CCCUCAUGGCACAGUUGGUAGAGCAUGGCACUUGUAAAGAGGGUUAGGGGUUCAAUUCCCUUGGGGGA